UGGACUUCAGAUGACUCAGACUGACAUUUUUUGGCAGUUAAAAGGAGGUGCAAAUUCUUUCUGCUGUGGGUAUGGAAGUGCAGUUGAAAAGUAUUUUGUUUUUCAGCAUAAUGGGACUGCAGUCACUUCGGCAAAUCUCCAGAAACCGCUAAUACAGCCAGCGCUAUGGUCUGAAAAAGCCCAAUGUGACUGCUAAGGAAUGCAUAUGCUCCAUUCUGUAGCACCACGUACUCCUGCAACUGCCUUUCCAUGUAGCUGGCUGCAAGGGCCAGGUGGCCAGUCCUGAGACUGAAACAUUGGACUAUGCCCACAGGCAGAUCAGUCGUAGGACAGCUGCAGUAUGCCCACCUAGUACACAG
Molecule: long non-coding RNA, 359 nt
Filed under: Gallus gallus (chicken)
Lineage: Eukaryota; Metazoa; Chordata; Aves; Galliformes; Phasianidae
Description: lncRNA (ENSGALG00010026818.1)
Source: RNAcentral